This 116-nucleotide ribosomal RNA is filed under the name Pteropus alecto (black flying fox). Lineage: Eukaryota; Metazoa; Chordata; Mammalia; Chiroptera; Pteropodidae. The record is from RNAcentral. RNAcentral also lists the same sequence under 1 other name.
GUCUGUGGCCAUGCCACCCUGAACAAGCCCGAUCCCGUCUGAUCUCAGAAGCUAAGCAGGGUCGGGCCUGGUUAGUACUUGGAUGGGAGACCUAGGAAGACCAGGUCGUGUAAGUG